This 497-nucleotide ribosomal RNA is filed under the name uncultured bacterium. RNAcentral's name for it is "partial 16S ribosomal RNA". It matches the Rfam family "Bacterial small subunit ribosomal RNA", at positions 28 to 507 of the family's 1533-position model. The record is from RNAcentral.
GACGAACGCUGGCGGCGUGCCUAAUACAUGCAAGUUGAGCGCUGAAGGUUGGUACUUGUCCCAACUGGAUGAGCAGCGAACGGGUGAGUAACGCGUGGGGAAUCUGCCUUUGAGCGGGGGACAACAUUUGGAAACGAAUGCUAAUACCGCAUAAAAACUUUAAACACAAGUUUUAAGUUUGAAAGAUGCAAUUGCAUCACUCAAAGAUGAUCCCGCGUUGUAUUAGCUAGUUGGUGAGGUAAAGGCUCACCAAGGCGAUGAUACAUAGCCGACCUGAGAGGGUGAUCGGACACAUUGGGACUGAGACACGGCCCAAACUCCUACGGGAGGCAGCAGUAGGGAAUCUUCGGCAAUGGACGAAAGUCUGACCGAGCAACGCCGCGGGAGUGAAGAAGGGUUUCGGAUCGUAAAACUCUGUUGGUAGAGAAGAACGUUGGUGAGAGUGGAAAGCUCAUCAAGUGACGGUAACUACCCAGAAAGGGACGGCUAACUACGUG